UGCCUCAGUACGGCGAGUGAGCGGCAAAGCUCACAUUUGAAAUCUAGUACCUUCGGUGCUCGAGUUGUAAUUUGAAGGUAGUUUUCUGGUGCUGGCCCUUGUCUAUGUUCCUUGGAACAGGACGUCAUAGAGGGUGAGAAUCCCGUCUGAUGGGGUGUCCAGUGCUUUGUAGAUUUCUACCGAAGAGUCGAGUUGUUUGGGAAUGCAGCUCUAAGUGGGUGGUAAAUUCCAUCUAAAGCUAAAUACUGGCGAGAGACCGAUAGCGAACAAGUACAGUGAUGGAAAGAUGAAAAGAACUUUGAAAAGAGAGUGAAAAAGUACGUGAAAUUGUUGAAAGGGAAGGGUAUUGGAUCAGACUUGGUGUCUUGUGAUUAUCUUCCCUUCUUGGGUUGUGCACUCGCAUUUCACUGGGCCAGCAUCG
This 421-nucleotide ribosomal RNA is filed under the name Petasospora fabianii. RNAcentral describes it as "eukaryotic LSU rRNA". It matches the Rfam family "Eukaryotic large subunit ribosomal RNA", at positions 76 to 498 of the family's 3401-position model. Lineage: Eukaryota; Fungi; Ascomycota; Saccharomycetes; Phaffomycetales; Wickerhamomycetaceae. The record is from RNAcentral.